This 253-nucleotide ribosomal RNA is filed under the name uncultured bacterium. RNAcentral describes it as "partial 16S ribosomal RNA". It matches the Rfam family "Bacterial small subunit ribosomal RNA", at positions 524 to 776 of the family's 1533-position model. The record is from RNAcentral.
UACGUAGGGUGCAAGCGUUAAUCGGAAUUACUGGGCGUAAAGCGUGCGCAGGCGGUUUUGUAAGUCUGAUGUGAAAUCCCCGGGCUCAACCAUAGAAUUGCGAUGGAGACUGCAAGGCUUGAAUCUGGCAGAGGGGGGUAGAAUUCCACGUGUAGCAGUGAAAUGCGUAGAGAUGUGGAGGAACACCGAUGGCGAAGGCAGCCCCCUGGGUCAAGAUUGACGCUCAUGCACGAAAGCGUGGGGAGCAAACAGG